RNAcentral lists this transfer RNA (57 nucleotides) under Ovis aries (sheep). It matches the Rfam family "tRNA", at positions 8 to 63 of the family's 71-position model. From Rfam's summary of the family: Transfer RNA (tRNA) molecules are approximately 80 nucleotides in length. Their secondary structure includes four short double-helical elements and three loops (D, anti-codon, and T loops). Lineage: Eukaryota; Metazoa; Chordata; Mammalia; Artiodactyla; Bovidae. The record is from Rfam by way of RNAcentral.
UGGCUCAGAUGGUAAAGUAUCUGCCUGCAGUGCAGGACACCCAGGUUCAAUCCCUGG